Esox lucius (northern pike) is the source of this 549-nucleotide long non-coding RNA. Lineage: Eukaryota; Metazoa; Chordata; Actinopteri; Esociformes; Esocidae. The record is from Ensembl.
GUGGGAAAUGCAUGUAUUGGAUUUAAUGCAUUGAGUCAGAGAGAUGGUUUGGAAUCUUUUUGUUCUAAUGGUGUUACAAUGGGGUUGUUUCUUUUCAUCUGAAAUGUGACCUUGAAAGAACCUUCCAGUUCCAUUGUGUAAUUGUUCUCUCCUUUUAUUUCAGUACUGAUAGUGAUGACCCUACAUUCACACCAAGGCGGCCAGGCACAACUACACAGGCUGCAGCUACAAAGAGCCAGCCAAGCACAUCUGCACCUGCAGCAGCACCUCAGCUUCCCCCAAGGAGAACACCUACAUCAAGGAGAACUCUUACCAAGUGCGCAGAGAGUCUACAGGGAGCAUUCAGAACCCCACUCGAAGGCGCUCCAGAUCACGCUCUCCUCUAGGGAUGUAACGAUAUCAAAAUCUCACGCAUAAGUGUUGUUCGACGGCUGUGCUGCAACAUCAAUAAACAAGCCAAAAAGAAUGGAAGACAAGCCACAUACCUGUGCCUAUUGCACCUUUGGACCCAGCAAACCCUGCAAACAGGCCUUCAGAUGUGAGGAGGUA